This 405-nucleotide ribosomal RNA is filed under the name uncultured bacterium. RNAcentral's name for it is "bacterial SSU rRNA". It matches the Rfam family "Bacterial small subunit ribosomal RNA", at positions 355 to 776 of the family's 1533-position model. The record is from RNAcentral.
UGAGGAAUCUUCCGCAAUGGGCGAAAGCCUGACGGAGCAACGCCGCGUGGAGGAAGACGGCCUUCGGGUUGUAAACUCCUUUUCUGUGGGACGAUUAUGACGGUACCACAGGAAUAAGGACCGGCUAACUACGUGCCAGCAGCCGCGGUAAUACGUAGGGUCCAAGCGCUAUCCGGAUUUACUGGGCGUAAAGCGUGCGUAGGCGGCGCGCCAAGUGAGACGCGAAAUUCUACGGCUCAACCGUAUGAACUGUGUCUCAUACUGGCGUGCUUGAGGACGGCAGAGGCAAGUGGAACUGGCGGUGUAGCAGUGAAAUGCGUAGAUAUCGCCAAGAACACCAAUGGCGAAGGCAGCUUGCUGGGCCGUUCCUGACGCUGAGGUACGAAAGCGUGGGGAGCGAACAGG